UGGGGAAUAUUGCACAAUGGACGGAAGUCUGAUGCAGCAACGCCGCGUGCGGGAUGACGGCCUUCGGGUUGUAAACCGCUUUUUCUCAUGACGAAGUUUUUUGACGGUAGUGGGGGAAGAAGCACCGGCUAACUACGUGCCAGCAGCCGCGGUAAUACGUAUGGAGCGAGCGUUGUCCGGAAUUAUUGGGCGUAAAGGGUGCGCAGGCGGCUUUACAAGUUGGAUGUGAAAUAUUGUGGCUCAACCACAAACGUGCAUCCAAAACUGCAAAGCUUGAGUUAAGGAGAGGUAAGUGGAAUUCCUGGUGUAGCGGUGGAAUGCGUAGAUAUCAGGAGGAAUACCGGUGGCGAAGGCGACUUACUGGACUUAAACUGACGCUCAGGCACGAAAGCGUGGGGAGCAAACAGG
This 408-nucleotide ribosomal RNA is filed under the name Fusobacteriota bacterium. Its description in RNAcentral is "Fusobacteria bacterium partial 16S ribosomal RNA". It matches the Rfam family "Bacterial small subunit ribosomal RNA", at positions 355 to 776 of the family's 1533-position model. Lineage: Bacteria; Fusobacteriati; Fusobacteriota. The record is from RNAcentral.